This is a long non-coding RNA of Quercus lobata, 760 nucleotides long. RefSeq lists it as uncharacterized. The transcript has 4 exons. NCBI's taxonomy places the organism in Eukaryota, Viridiplantae, Streptophyta, Magnoliopsida, Fagales, Fagaceae. The record is from RefSeq and is a predicted model, not a curated record.
UUAAAGGAGGAGAAAUUCCAAGGUUUGAAAUUAAAGUGACCCAUGAAGCUAAACUUAAUGAAAUAUUGCACAAGAUUAAUUCUAUUGAAAUUAAGUUAUGCUCUGAUGGUGUAAAGGACUUCAUUAAGUUGCUAAAAGUGGGCAUUGCCUACCGUGUUGGUGGGAUCAUUUGAGUUUUUCAUAGAUCUCCUCAGCAAUCCGUUAGCCAUACCAAACAAUCUACAAUGUUGUCUUUGUCUUUGGUAAUUGAAUACAUUGGAUUCCCUCCAAGCGGUGGUAUUCCCAUCAGAGCCCCUCCAAUGGUGUACAAGCAUCUACAACCAUUUAUUAACUUGUUUGUUUUUUCACCAAUUGAUGAUGUUAUGGAUCUAUCAUAUAGUCUGGCAUGAGCAGCUAUGUUUAGUACUGGUGCAUUCGACAGAAACCUAGAUGAAGUUUGAGCAUGGUUACUAUUUUACCAAGAUGUAUCAUCUACUUUCAGCCCUUUUGUCAUAAGUGUUGCAGAAGUGUCUAAGACCCUAAAGUUGCUAACUUUUGAAUCUGGAAGCUUUACAUUGCCUGAAAAGUCAUCAUAUCACUAUAUGUAUGCCGUGCACAAAAUUAUAUCAUGCAAACUCAGGUGGAUGUAGGAUUGCUAUCUGCUUUGGUUGAAUCGGUCUUGUUUAAGAGACUUGGUGAUUGUUGUGCAGUAAAUGGAUUUUCUUCCUCAAUUAUUUGCAUGUUGCCUGAUGAGAUACUGAAAAUUUUCCAUCAGUUAUGA